ACACUUUAACAAUAUGUAUACUAAAAUUGGAGUGAUAUGGAGAAGAUUAGCAUGGUACCUGUGCAAAGAUGAUAUACAAAUCCAUAAACACUUUAUUAUUAU
Small nuclear RNA from Peromyscus eremicus (cactus mouse), 102 nucleotides. The record is from RefSeq and is a predicted model, not a curated record. Lineage: Eukaryota; Metazoa; Chordata; Mammalia; Rodentia; Cricetidae.